Molecule: ribosomal RNA, 696 nt
Filed under: uncultured Bacteroidales bacterium
Lineage: Bacteria; Pseudomonadati; Bacteroidota; Bacteroidia; Bacteroidales
Description: bacterial SSU rRNA
Rfam family: Bacterial small subunit ribosomal RNA
Source: RNAcentral
UAACACAUGCAAGUCGAGGGGCAGCAUGGUCUUAGCUUGCUAAGGCCGAUGGCGACCGGCGCACGGGUGAGUAACACGUAUCCAACCUGCCGUCUACUCUUGGACAGCCUUCUGAAAGGAAGAUUAAUACAAGAUGGCAUCAUGAGUCCGCAUGUUCACAUGAUUAAAGGUAUUCCGGUAGACGAUGGGGAUGCGUUCCAUUAGAUAGUAGGCGGGGUAACGGCCCACCUAGUCUUCGAUGGAUAGGGGUUCUGAGAGGAAGGUCCCCCACAUUGGAACUGAGACACGGUCCAAACUCCUACGGGAGGCAGCAGUGAGGAAUAUUGGUCAAUGGGCGAGAGCCUGAACCAGCCAAGUAGCGUGAAGGAUGACUGCCCUAUGGGUUGUAAACUUCUUUUAUAAAGGAAUAAAGUCGGGUAUGGAUACCCGUUUGCAUGUACUUUAUGAAUAAGGAUCGGCUAACUCCGUGCCAGCAGCCGCGGUAAUACGGAGGAUCCGAGCGUUAUCCGGAUUUAUUGGGUUUAAAGGGAGCGUAGAUGGAUGUUUAAGUCAGUUGUGAAAGUUUGCGGCUCAACCGUAAAAUUGCAGUUGAUACUGGAUAUCUUGAGUGCAGUUGAGGCAGGCGGAAUUCGUGGUGUAGCGGUGAAAUGCUUAGAUAUCACGAAGACUCCGAUUGCGAAGGCAGCCUGCUAAGCU